Chinchilla lanigera (long-tailed chinchilla) is the source of this 572-nucleotide long non-coding RNA. RefSeq lists it as uncharacterized. The transcript is spliced from 2 exons. The record is from RefSeq and is a predicted model, not a curated record. NCBI's taxonomy places the organism in Eukaryota, Metazoa, Chordata, Mammalia, Rodentia, Chinchillidae.
CUUGCAUGAAUUUAACAGCUCUUGCAAGAAACUCUGAAGAUGAAUUCAGUUUAGCCAACCUGGUAUUAUUUUAAAGACUUGAGUUUCAAGAUCUGUCUGACAGAGGAAAGCAACGUGAUCAAGCAUGUGAUCAUGCAGAUGGAACCACCAACCAAUGUGCCAGACUCAGACGCAGACGAAGACGAAGACAAAGACGCAGACUCAAACUCAGACGAAGACUCAGACCAAGACCAAACCAAGACCAAGACCAAGCCAGCUAAGACUAAAAAACAACUAAGAACAUAGAUAAUAAACCAAGGUUAAUGAUGCCAUUCACAUGCCUUUGCUACUAUUCAAUCAAUAUUAACCAAGCAGCUAUACUUGUAAUCUUAUCAUUUGAUUAUAAUUUGACUCAUGUUGUACACAUCCCUUGUGACUUUGCUCUGUAAAACUUUCAUAGAGAAGUGGGGUCAUUGGCCACUCCUUUGGGACCCUGUCUGUCUCUCAGGAGUUAAUCUUUUUCCCCAUUCCUAUUUCCUGUCCCUAUUGCCCAAUAAGUUUUCCUAUUCUAAUAAAACGAAGUAUUUCACAGA